AACCCGGCUACAUGAAGCUGGAAUCGCUAGUAAUCGCAGAUCAGAAUGCUGUGGUGAAUACGUUCCCGGGUCUUGUACACACCGCCCGUCACACCAUGGGAGCCGGGAAUGCCCGAAGUCGGUGACCCAACCGUAAGGAGGGAGCCGCCGAAGGCAGGCCUGGUAACUGGGGUGAAGUCGUAACAAGGUAUC
RNAcentral lists this ribosomal RNA (192 nucleotides) under uncultured bacterium. RNAcentral's name for it is "partial 16S ribosomal RNA". It matches the Rfam family "Bacterial small subunit ribosomal RNA", at positions 1309 to 1500 of the family's 1533-position model. The record is from RNAcentral.